UUUCCUCUUUUGUUUUAGGUUUCGUUAUGGCAAGAUCUAGAGCCAGAUAUGUGUAUGUGAUAAUGAAAAGUACUCUGAGCCAACAUCAAUUCCCUACUACAAGGCUAAAACUGUCUGAGCGGAUCGAAGUAACAAAAUUCGAUCCUCAUGCUCAGAAAUUUGCUCUGUAUAAAGAGAUUAAGAAACAUAGCAUCUUCAGAGGUUUUUGAUAAUAGAAUAUGCAUCUGUCACACAAAUCAUGCUUUUUAGAGAACCCAAACCAAUUUGUAAGGGAAAAUGUACUUGUAAAUAAAUUGUAAUGUCUUUC
Molecule: long non-coding RNA, 307 nt
Organism: Uloborus diversus
Lineage: Eukaryota; Metazoa; Arthropoda; Arachnida; Araneae; Uloboridae
Exons: 3
Source: RefSeq, a predicted model, not a curated record